UCCCUGGUGGUCUGGUGGUUAAGACUCUACGCUCUCAAUGCAGGGGACCCAGGUUCAAUCCUUGGUGGGGGAA
Molecule: transfer RNA, 73 nt
Filed under: Bos taurus (domestic cattle)
Lineage: Eukaryota; Metazoa; Chordata; Mammalia; Artiodactyla; Bovidae
Also listed under: 4 other names
Rfam family: tRNA
About the family: Transfer RNA (tRNA) molecules are approximately 80 nucleotides in length. Their secondary structure includes four short double-helical elements and three loops (D, anti-codon, and T loops).
Source: Rfam by way of RNAcentral